RNAcentral lists this ribosomal RNA (324 nucleotides) under uncultured eukaryote. RNAcentral describes it as "partial 18S ribosomal RNA". It matches the Rfam family "Eukaryotic small subunit ribosomal RNA", at positions 1470 to 1795 of the family's 1831-position model. The record is from RNAcentral.
CCCUUAGAUGUUCUGGGCUGCACGCGCGCUACACUGGUGCGUUCAGCGAGUUUAGCACCUUAACAGAUAUGUUUGGGUAAUCUUCUGAAAACGCACCGUGAUGGGGAUCGAUUAUUGUAAUUAUUAAUCGUCAACGAGGAAUUCCUAGUAAGUGUGAAUCAUCAGUUCGCGCUGAUUACGUCCCUGCCCUUUGUACACACCGCCCGUCGCUGCUACCGAUUGAGUGGUCCGGUGAAUUAUUCGGACCGGUGGACUGUGGGGAAACCCGCGGCCUGCUGGGAAGUCUUGUGAACCUUAUCACUUAGAGGAAGCAGAAGUCGUAAC